UACGUAGGGUGCGAGCGUUAAUCGGAAUUACUGGGCGUAAAGCGUGCGCAGGCGGUUUUGUAAGCCAGAUGUGAAAUCCCCCGGGCUUAACCUGGGAAUGGCAUUUGGGACUGCAAGGCUGGAGUGCGGCAGAGGAGACUGGAAUUCCUGGUGUAGCAGUGAAAUGCGUAGAUAUCAGGAGGAUACCGAUGGCGAAGGCAGGUCUCUGGGCUGACACUGACGCUCAUGCGACGAAAGCGUGGGGAGCAAACAAGGUUAGAAACC
Molecule: ribosomal RNA, 264 nt
Filed under: uncultured bacterium
Lineage: Bacteria
Description: partial 16S ribosomal RNA
Rfam family: Bacterial small subunit ribosomal RNA
Source: RNAcentral